This 254-nucleotide ribosomal RNA is filed under the name uncultured bacterium. Its description in RNAcentral is "partial 16S ribosomal RNA". It matches the Rfam family "Bacterial small subunit ribosomal RNA", at positions 524 to 776 of the family's 1533-position model. The record is from RNAcentral.
UACGUAGGGGGCAAGCGUUGUCCGGAUUUAUUGGGCGUAAAGAGCUCGUAGGCGGUCUGUCGCGUCGGUCGUGAAAACUUGGGGCUUAACCCCGAGCUUGCGGUCGAUACGGGCAUGACUGGAGUUCGGCAGGGGAGACUGGAAUUCCUGGUGUAGCGGUGGAAUGCGCAGAUAUCAGGAGGAACACCGAUGGCGAAGGCAGUUCUCUGGGCCGUAACUGACGCUGAGGAGCGAAAGCGUGGGGAGCGAACAGG